AAGUCGUAACAAGGUCUCCGUAGGUGAACCUGCGGAGGGAUCAUUACCGAGUGAACGGCGCUCCGGCGCCCGACCUCCCAACCCUUUGAUUUGAUCAAGACCUCCUUCUGCCUCGGGGGCGACCCGGCCCACGUGGUCCGCGGUCCCCCCGGCGGCGCACAAUUCCAACUCUGCAUCAAUUGUCGUCGGAUAUUGAAGCGAAUUCAAUCAAAACUUUCAACAACGGAUCUCUUGGUUCUG
This 240-nucleotide unclassified non-coding RNA is filed under the name Neodevriesia sp. RNAcentral describes it as "partial internal transcribed spacer region". The stretch from base 1 to 46 matches the Rfam family "Eukaryotic small subunit ribosomal RNA", at positions 1786 to 1831 of the family's 1831-position model. The record is from RNAcentral. Lineage: Eukaryota; Fungi; Ascomycota; Dothideomycetes; Mycosphaerellales; Neodevriesiaceae.